Non-coding RNA from Tetranychus urticae (two-spotted spider mite), 2146 nucleotides. The record is from RefSeq and is a predicted model, not a curated record. Lineage: Eukaryota; Metazoa; Arthropoda; Arachnida; Trombidiformes; Tetranychidae.
UUUCCCACUAAUUUUAUAUUGUUUUUAUUUCCAACAGUCAUUUUAAUUCAAAAGAUUGUGUUUGAAAAAAUUAUUACCUUUAAAGACAAUUUAACAGCCUUGUCCAACUUAACAAAGUGAUGAGAAUUAAUUAGCUUCACAUAUUGGUAGACCUUGAUUGUGAAUAAUCUUAAUUUAAAUCAUAUUAUGUUUCCUUCCAGUUUGAUGAUUUCAUUUGUGCUAAUUUGAUCUUUAUUUUUAAGUCAAGAGACUGAGGAUAAUAAUUUUAAUUACUUUUGACAGUUUUAAUGGGUAAAAAAGAAAAUGUUUAAUUUGGCUAAAGUAAUUGCUUCAGAGGACAGUCAAUACUUGACCAUUUUUACCACCUUUUAUUAGUCUAUUGUUCACUUUUUGCAACAUUUUUAAUUUCCCUUGGUUGGUUAAACCAAUUGAUUAAACCGGUGAUUAUUGUCACUUUUAUUUUCAACUAGAAUUUAGUCAUAAUCAACCUGAAAGACCUAACCUGAUUAGGUGUAUCAUUAUUAAACUGUAUCCAUAACCUGACAUCAUAGUCUCAAUGAGCCUUCAAAUGUUAUAGGUGUUUGCGUGGGUUAAAGUGAGCAAAAGGGUAUUGGAUGAAGGAUCAGUUGUUUUAACAUGAAGGUUAUUACAAUUGGUUGGUUCACUUCGAAUGGUAGUUUGGCUUUUACUUUCACUGGUCAUUACAACAAUUAUAUUUCCACAACUUUAGUUAAGACAGUUACGAGUUUUGAGUUUUCCAAUUAAAUUUUUUGUAUAAUUUUAAAGUUGGCAGUGAGAGAGGAGACUUUACAAAUUUACUUGUUAUUUAAUUAAAAAAAAGAGGAAACAGAGAAACGAUAAGUAUAAUUUUAAAUUGGUUCACUAUUAUUGUUAGUAAAUUGUUUGCCUUUUCAUUUCUCUCUGUCACCUUUUAUUCCUCUCCUUACUUAAUUACCAUACAUACAGUACAUUUACACACAGAGACACGUACACAAUAACAUAUUGGUGUCUUCAUUGACGAUUUAUCUGAUUGUUAUUGUUAGUAUUACAUUAUCAAUUUGUAUUUUAUAACUUUGCUAAUUUGUUGUUUUUUUACAGUUUUGAUCAAAUAGAAGAGAACAAAAAGUAAAGAAGAGAAAAAUUAUUCCAAUUUGAUGAUUAUGGCCACAGAAUUUACUUAUUGAUGAUCCAGAUGUAAAACGAAUGGUUAAUGGUAGCAUUGAAGCCUAUGGAAUGUUAAGAUGGUCAAAUUAAAAUGGUAUUUCUAAUUAUCUAACUAGAGCGUUUUCCAUGCUGGAUGGUUUACAUUGAAUUUAAAGAUUCAAUGUUGGAUGAAGCUAAAUCUGGGUUUUCGUUGCCAUAAAAUGAUGACAAAUAUUCGCUCCAAAAAUUGGCUGAUCAGGUUGAGUUCCCGAAGGUUUUGGCUUCAUGUCUAGAACGAUUGACGCGUCACUUUACCCGGGACUUGAUCACAUUCUAUGGCGUUUUCUGGUCGUUUUAAUGGUUACUUUGGCUUAUUCCCAUGAGAAGUAGCGAUUGUUUAACACCUCAUGAAUUGUUUCACAUUUGACAUUUCCAAGAAUUUCUAACGUUUUCUUGAAAUGGUUUUGGGUUUCGCAAGACGCUUGGUUUAUAAAAAUGGUGAUAAUUGGAAGCAGGAAUUUGCUACAAUACUUGAUGCUGAUUAGUUUGGUAUUUAUCACGAGUGACCGCACAAAAUGGUUGGAAAGGUUAAACGUGAACUUCACUUUAACAAUUAUUUGAUCCAAUUUUGUUCAUCUUUAUCUUUCGAGUUGAUCUUGCAAUCAGAAGAAAAUGGUCAAAUUUAUGUCAACCACAGACACAAUUGAAAACCAAUGCAAGUUAUGUUCUUUCGAUGAAUUUUUCAAAUCCCAAAGCUUUCAAUGUUGUCUGUUAACUGAAAAAUUAAAAAUCUAUUGAGCUUUGUUUGAUUUUUCAAUUUGUGCAUAAAUGUGACAAUUUUGUUAAUUGUGUCUUUUCAGUAACAACCCAUUUAAUCCUAGGAUCAUCCUCUCCAAAUUUGGCGACAGUUUAUUUUUGCUGUUAAUUAUCUUUUAAAACAAAGCACCAUUUUUAUUUGUCCUCUUCUGCUUGCAAAAGCUGCUCACGGGUUUAACUCAACAAU